CCUACGGGAGGCAGCAGUGAGGGAUAUUGGACAAUGGGGGGAACCCUGAUCCAGCGACGCCGCGUGAGUGAAGAAGUAUUUCGGUAUGUAAAGCUCUGUCAGCAGGGAAGAAAGAAAUGACGGUACCUGACCAAGAAGCCCCGGCUAACUACGUGCCAGCAGCCGCGGUAAU
RNAcentral lists this ribosomal RNA (172 nucleotides) under uncultured bacterium. RNAcentral's name for it is "partial 16S ribosomal RNA". It matches the Rfam family "Bacterial small subunit ribosomal RNA", at positions 338 to 524 of the family's 1533-position model. The record is from RNAcentral.